GGAAGGAUCAUUAACUAAACAACAUAUACCUUGUGAAACAAGAGCUUGGGGGUGGGUAGGUAGGGAGAUGCAUGUGUGAUGCGUGUGAGAGAUGUGUAUGCGACAAGAUGUAGUACUAUGCUACAUUGUGUACCAUUUCUCACCCACAUCCCUCGCAUACAUCCUACAUCUCUCACUCUCUAGCUCUUAUUUAUAUACAUUAGUCAAACAACACUUUAAAAUAUUACAAUUUUUAACAAUGGAUCUCUAGGCUCUUGCAACGAUGAAGAACGCAGCUAAUUGCGAUAAGUAAUGUGAAUUGCAUCACUGUGAAUCAUCGAAUCUUUGAACGCACUUUGCGCUCCUCGAGUUAAUCGAGAAGCAUAUCUGUUUGAGUAUCAGAAACAUAUUACAUACAUGAAGAAUCAAGCAAUUGUUCUUUUAAAUGCAUACAUCAAGUGAGGUAAAAGACAGUUGUUCUUUCCCGCUUUAUUCUAACAAUAUGAUCUCAAAUCAGACAAGAUUACCCGCUGAACUUAAGCAUAUCAGUAAGCGGAGGAAAAGAAACUAACAAGGAUUCCCUCAGUAAUGGCGAAUGAAGUGGGAAAAGCUCAAAUUUAAAAUCCAAGAGGUUACCUCUUUGAAUUGUAGUUUAUAGAGACGUUUUCCGAGGCGGCAUUGAUUCAAGUUCUUUGGAACAAGACAUCAUAGAGGGUGAGAAUCCCGUCCAUGGUCUUUGCCAUACUCAAUGUGAUACGUUUUCUAAGAGUCGAGUUGUUUGGGAAUGCAGCUCAAAGCGGGUGGUAAAUUUCAUCCAAAGCUAAAUAUUGGCAAGAGACCGAUAGCGAACAAGUACAGUGAGGGAAAGAUGAAAAGAACUUUGAAAAGAGAGUUAAAAGUACGUGAAAUUGUUAAAAAGGAAGCGAUUGAAACCAGUAUAGUGUCAACAUUGGUUUCUGUUGCUGGAUAAGGCCUUGAGUUUAGCUGUUUAUACAGUGAGGCUCUUGGAGAAACAGCGAUGGAGACCGAGGUCUGCAGCGUAGCGAAAGCUUAGUCGAGCCAUUAUUUUUGCAAAAGCGGGUUCAAGACAACAUGUUGACUUGAGCACGUCUAGCCUAAUGAGUGGGUAGAUAUAAAUACGCUUAGGAUGUUGACGAAAUGGUUUUAAACGACCCGUCUUGAAACACGGACCAAGGAGUCUAACACAUAUGCGAGUAUUAGAGUGUCAAACUCUUGUGCGUAAUGAAAGUGAAUGGAUGGGAUCCGCAAGGUGCACCAUUGACCAAUCUUGAUGUUUUAACGGAUAGAUUUGAGUAAGAGCAUAUUUGUUGGGACCCGAAAGAUGGUGAACUAUGCCUGAAUAGGGUGAAGCCAGAGGAAACUCUGGUGGAGGCUCGUAGAGGUUCUGACGUGCAAAUCGAUCUUCAAAUUUGGGUAUAGGGGCGAAAGACUAAUCGAACCAUCUAGUAGCUGGUUCCCUC
Molecule: unclassified non-coding RNA, 1460 nt
Filed under: uncultured fungus
Lineage: Eukaryota; Fungi
Description: sequence contains 18S rRNA gene, ITS1, 5.8S rRNA gene, ITS2, 28S rRNA gene
Rfam family: Eukaryotic large subunit ribosomal RNA (bases 483-1460)
Source: RNAcentral